This 253-nucleotide ribosomal RNA is filed under the name uncultured bacterium. RNAcentral's name for it is "partial 16S ribosomal RNA". It matches the Rfam family "Bacterial small subunit ribosomal RNA", at positions 524 to 776 of the family's 1533-position model. The record is from RNAcentral.
UACGUAGGGUGCAAGCGUUGUCUGGAAUUAUUGGGCGUAAAGAGCGUGUAGGCGGCCCGAUUAGUCUGCUGUGAAAGUCCAGGGCUCAACCCUGGAAUGCCGGUGGAUACUGUCGGGCUAGAGUCCGGAAGGGGCGAGUGGAAUUCCUGGUGUAGCGGUGAAAUGCGCAGAUAUCAGGAGGAACACCAAUGGCGAAGGCAGCUCGCUGGGACGUGACUGACGCUGAGACGCGAAAGCGUGGGGAGCAAACAGG